UACGAAGGGAGCUAGCGUUGUUCGGAAUCACUGGGCGUAAAGCGCACGUAGGCGGAUGUGUCAGUCAGGGGUGAAAUCCCGGAGCUCAACUUCGGAACUGCCUUUGAUACAGCACGUCUUGAGUCCGAUAGAGGUGGGUGGAAUUCCUAGUGUAGAGGUGAAAUUCGUAGAUAUUAGGAAGAACACCGGUGGCGAAGGCGGCCCACUGGCCCGAUACUGACGCUGAGGCACGAAAGCGUGGGGAGCAAACAGG
RNAcentral lists this ribosomal RNA (253 nucleotides) under uncultured bacterium. RNAcentral describes it as "partial 16S ribosomal RNA". It matches the Rfam family "Bacterial small subunit ribosomal RNA", at positions 524 to 776 of the family's 1533-position model. The record is from RNAcentral.